RNAcentral lists this long non-coding RNA (507 nucleotides) under Physcomitrium patens. RNAcentral's name for it is "long non-coding RNA (PPAT_LNC001159)". Lineage: Eukaryota; Viridiplantae; Streptophyta; Bryopsida; Funariales; Funariaceae. The record is from RNAcentral.
UUGCUUCCACAUUGACUUCCUGCUGGUUUGGUGGAGAAUAGGUGUCCUAUUAUAUUACUCUCUGUUGUUUGACCUGUUUUGUAUUGAGUGUGGGUUUUUUGACUCCACAUUCUGAUCACCCGCACUCAUUUGCUCCUUGUUUUGGAGCUGCUUCACUGUUGCAAAUUGAUCACAUGAAGUACUCACAAGAAUAGUAGUUUUAUACAAGGAUCCGAACUUAAGUGAUGUGAUCAAUGGGUUGCUUGAGUAAAUGGAACGAAAUAUUUGCGUGUUUGAACAAAGAGAUGAGAAAUUGAUGAUUCAUUUUUAAAACCAAGAGUGACUCAUUUGAGAUACAAUUAUAUAUUAUAGGCAAUGGAUGUGGGUGUGGAAAUUUUAAUUCAGCAUAAUAGAAGAACCGUUUAGAUUCAGCAAACAAAAUUGAGGUACACCUUUGACUACGUAUUCCUCCAUUUUUGGUAUAUGAUAGCCAGUAUGUGCAAUUGAUCACAAUGAUUAGAAUGUGCC